UACAGAGGUGUCUAGCGUUGUCCGGAAUUACUGGGCGUAAAGGGCGUGUAGGUGGGCGGGCAAGUCGGAUGUGAAAUCACUGGGCUUAACCCAGUAACUGCAUCCGAAACUGCUUGUCUUGAGUGCAGAAGAGGAGAGUGGAAUUCCCAGUGUAGCGGUGAAAUGCGUAGAUAUUGGGAGGAACACCAGUGGCGAAGGCGGCUCUCUGGUCUGUAACUGACACUGAAACGCGAAAGCUAGGGGAGCAAACGGG
RNAcentral lists this ribosomal RNA (253 nucleotides) under uncultured bacterium. RNAcentral describes it as "partial 16S ribosomal RNA". It matches the Rfam family "Bacterial small subunit ribosomal RNA", at positions 524 to 776 of the family's 1533-position model. The record is from RNAcentral.